This 431-nucleotide ribosomal RNA is filed under the name Kosakonia cowanii. RNAcentral describes it as "bacterial SSU rRNA". It matches the Rfam family "Bacterial small subunit ribosomal RNA", at positions 344 to 764 of the family's 1533-position model. Lineage: Bacteria; Pseudomonadati; Pseudomonadota; Gammaproteobacteria; Enterobacterales; Enterobacteriaceae. The record is from RNAcentral.
GGAGGCAGCAGUGGGGAAUAUUGCACAAUGGGCGCAAGCCUGAUGCAGCCAUGCCGCGUGUAUGAAGAAGGCCUUCGGGUUGUAAAGUACUUUCAGCGGGGAGGAAGGCGAUGCGGUUAAUAACCGCGUCGAUUGACGUUACCCGCAGAAGAAGCACCGGCUAACUCCGUGCCAGCAGCCGCGGUAAUACGGAGGGUGCAAGCGUUAAUCGGAAUUACUGGGCGUAAAGCGCACGCAGGCGGUCUGUCAAGUCGGAUGUGAAAUCCCCGGGCUCAACCUGGGAACUGCAUCCGAAACUGGCAGGCUUGAGUCUCGUAGAGGGGGGUAGAAUUCCAGGUGUAGCGGUGAAAUGCGUAGAGAUCUGGAGGAAUGAAACGGUGGCGAAGGCGGCCCCCUGGACGAGAGACUGACGCUCAGGUGCGAAAGCGUGG